Molecule: long non-coding RNA, 807 nt
Organism: Brassica napus (rape)
Lineage: Eukaryota; Viridiplantae; Streptophyta; Magnoliopsida; Brassicales; Brassicaceae
Exons: 6
Source: RefSeq, a predicted model, not a curated record
UACAGGUGAGAUGACUUAUGUAAAUCUUCAACUAAACCCUGAGAUGAUGAUCAUCAUCAUCAGCUUGCCAAGAAACUAACAGCCGUUGACCUUGUUGCUAUUGGAGUUGGAACAACAAUUGGAGCAGGAGUGUAUAUUCUAGUGGGAACAGUAGCUAGACAACACACAGGACCUGCUCUUGCUGUAUCGUUCUUCAUCGCUGGAGUAGCAGCUGCUCUCUCCGCUUGUUGCUAUGCUGAGCUUGUUCUUAUUGUCCAUCUGCUGGCAGUGCUUAUCAUUAUGCUUACAUCUUCUUGGAGAAGGCUUACUAACCGAGUAGCAAACAUCGAAUCGUACACGUGUCAUAGCGGCCACGAAACGGGAAGGUCCUUCUAGUUCCAACAACAGUAACGACGCAGCAAGCAGAGCAGAUGCAAAGGAAAACAAUGCGCUCUAAAACAUUCAGUCACAGAAUCAAUUAAAGGCAUAUACAUGAUGAUGAUCAUUGUUUAUAGCUUUCGUCCUAAAAACCAAACAGGUGAGGUACUAGAAAGGUCAUUCCACUUGGAACAUUCCUAUUGGCAACCAUUGGGAAGUUUAACAAAACGGUGCUGAAACUUCAAUCAAACAACACAAGAAUACACCAAGAGGUGUUUUACAGGUCACUGUUAUGUUUAGUUUAAGUUGGAUGUGUUUGUCUGGUUUUAGCGCCAUAUCUCAAAAUUCAGUAAUUGAAGUUGUAUUCUGUAUCAUUUAGAUGUCUGUGAUUACAUUGUAUGCUCUAUCAAUCGCAUAUUGCAGGCAAAAUAAAUACUAAAACUACCUUAA